This 490-nucleotide ribosomal RNA is filed under the name uncultured bacterium. RNAcentral describes it as "partial 16S ribosomal RNA". It matches the Rfam family "Bacterial small subunit ribosomal RNA", at positions 29 to 507 of the family's 1533-position model. The record is from RNAcentral.
AGUGAACGCUGGCGGUAGGCCUAACACAUGCAAGUCGAACGGCAGCACAGGAGAGCUUGCUCUCUGGGUGGCGAGUGGCGGACGGGUGAGGAAUACAUCGGAAUCUGCCCAGUCGUGGGGGAUAACGUAGGGAAACUUACGCUAAUACCGCAUACGACCUUCGGGUGAAAGAGGGGGAUCGCAAGACCUCUCGCGAUUGGAUGAGCCGAUGUCGGAUUAGCUAGUUGGCGGGGUAAUGGCCCACCAAGGCGACGAUCCGUAGCUGGUCUGAGAGGAUGAUCAGCCACACUGGAACUGAGACACGGUCCAGACUCCUACGGGAGGCAGCAGUGGGGAAUAUUGGACAGUGGGCGCAAGCCUGAUCCAGCCAUACCGCGUGGGUGAAGAAGGCCUUCGGGUUGUAAAGCCCUUUUGUUGGGAAAGAAAUCUUUCAGGCUAAUACCCUGGGAGGAUGACGGUACCCAAAGAAUAAGCACCGGCUAACUUCGUG